UCACUGUUUCUCACAGAUCAGUACUCCGGAGAGUCUGGGUGGAGUUUGGAAGGUGCACCUUUGGCAUGAUAAUGGAGGUUCUUCUCACAGCUGGUAGCUGAGUCAUGUGGUCUUGCUGGUUGUUCAUGGGCCAGUGUUGGCUGGCAGUGGAUGUGGGAGAUGGAAAGUUCGAGAGAAGUCUCACUGGAUCUGAAUGCAGCCUGACAUUUAAACAGAAUAUCUGGAGGACUUUCAUCCGUUGCUGUCUGUCUACAGACGCCCGUCUUACAGCACAUAUACACACUCUCAGCAUUCAAGUGUGUGCAUGCUGCUUCUGCAGGGCUACAUGUGUGUCAGCGCAUUGCUCAUAAAUCUUUGGGAGGAACAGGUGUUUAACACAGAAAUUCAAUACAAUUCUUCUAUGUCAAGAUGUGCGUGAUUGUGCUAAUUUUAUUUGAAUUUCCCCAUAUUGAGCCAUGUCUUUUAUGUUUUCUAUUGUGCACAAAUUGGUAGCAUUAAUAGAGAUGGGCCUUAUUGACGUCUCACCAGUCUCCAUGGUAACAGGCAUGUGCAGUGUUCUCGCUGUGAUGCUGGUAGGGUGUCUGGUGUCCCUGGUGUUCCGUGUCAGCAAGGUCAGAAUUCCCAGGCUGCCUGAAAUUAUUCCUAAGUUUCUUCUUGACACACAGUUACAUAGUGGAUAUAGGAUCCAUUAGUGGAUAUAGGAUCCAAAUUCAGAGUAUUCAGAUUCUAUACGCUAUUGAUCUAUUUUGUAGACAAGCAGAUCCAACGGUGUGCCAGGAGAGCAAUAUAAAGUCAAAGUGUCUGAUAUCUACCCUGUAGAAGGUAUAUUUUUAAGUAUGUAUCAUUUUGUAUUCUACCAUUAUUUAAAUUAGUUUUAUGCAAAUCACUCUGUAUUUGUUUGUUUGCUUCAUAUACCACUACUGAUGAAUGAUUGUGCAUUUGAGUCUUCUCUGUUCAGAAAUACAGUCUCCCAUGGGACUCGGGGCUCAUGGAGAAAGGAAAAUAAGUGUCAUCCUCAGGAUCACAAGACAUCUGAUUCAGUGUCUGCAUCAAAACUGCAAGGGGACUCUGACUCAAUCUUUGAGACUGUAAAACAUUCAAUGCCUGAUGUCAACAACAGAUCACAUGACAUAAGCAAAUGGAAUCAAUUUGAUCUCAUUCCAUGCAGUUCUGCAGAUUUUUUUUUGUGAGCACCCACCUUCCAGAAAACCAGCAAGAUUGUGGUGGUAGAAUCAGUAAUCUUCAAUCCUGGUGUUAUUGUGUGGGCUGGACCCUUUGCCUGUCCAUCUCUCUAGCAUGCAUCAUCCUCACUGGGACUCUUGGAAUUAAGUGGAACUGGACAGCAACCACAUUAAUGGAGAGACUGUACCACAAAGGCAACUGCACUAAAGGGACAGAAGAGGUGCUUACUAUCUUAUUGGGAGUCCAAUCAUUAGAAAGACUGAGAGCUCACAUAACUCAUCAUGCCAGGCACCUGGUGUUAUAGUUGCAGUGGCCGUCUCCUGUUUGUGGACCAUGAGCGUUCAUUAAUUCCCAUUUACUCUCAGCAGCUUCAUGAGAUCUGUUUAUUUGGUCUUCACUUGCUUCUUUAGCAUGAGCGGCUUCAGUGAAAUUUAUCACCAAACCCAAUUCCAUUGACACUUUACGUUUGUGCUUUAUUUUGCACUAUG
This is a long non-coding RNA of Xyrauchen texanus (razorback sucker), 1670 nucleotides long. RefSeq lists it as uncharacterized. The record is from RefSeq and is a predicted model, not a curated record. The transcript is spliced from 7 exons. NCBI's taxonomy places the organism in Eukaryota, Metazoa, Chordata, Actinopteri, Cypriniformes, Catostomidae.